CGAUAAUCUGCCCUUAAGUCUGGGAUAACCACGGGAAACUGUGGCUAAGACCGGAUGGGAAAACAAAUCUGGAACGAUUGUUCUCCGAAAGGUAACGCUUAAGGAUGGGACGGCGGCGGAUUAGGCAGUUGGUGAGGUAACGGCUCACCAAACCGAAGAUCCGUAGGGGCUUUGAGAGAAGGAGCCCCGAGAAGGGCACUGAGACACAGGCCCUAGCCCUACGGGGUGCAGCAGGCGCGAAACCUUUACAAUGCACGCAAGUGUGAUAGGGGAACUCAGAGUGCUAAUACACAGUAUAGGCUUUUGCCAAGAGUAAAUAUCUUGGAGAAUAAGUGGUGGGAAAGACUGGUGCCAGCCGCCGCGGUAACCCCAGCGCCACGAGUGGGGAUCGCGUUUAUUGGGCCUAAAGCAUCCGUAGCUGGUCAUGUAAAUCUCUUGUGAAAUUGUUAGGCUCAACCUAACAGCGUGCAGGAGACACUGCAAGACUAGGGAUUGGGAGGAGUUAGGGGUAUGCUAUGGGGAGCGGUAAAAUGCUAUAAUCCAUGGUAGACCACCUGUGGCGAAGGCGCCUAACUAGAACAAGUCCGACAGUGAGGGAUGAAAGCCAGGGGAGCAAACCGGAUUAGAUACCCGAGUAGUCCUGGCCGUAAACCCUGCGAGCUAGGUGUCGCAUAAUCUUCGUGAUUGUGCGGUGUCGUAGUGAAGAUGAUAAGCUCGCCGCCUGGGAAGUACGGUCGCAAGACCAAAACU
Molecule: ribosomal RNA, 750 nt
Filed under: uncultured archaeon
Lineage: Archaea
Description: bacterial SSU rRNA
Rfam family: Archaeal small subunit ribosomal RNA
Source: RNAcentral